Molecule: ribosomal RNA, 1063 nt
Filed under: Arthrobacter sp.
Lineage: Bacteria; Bacillati; Actinomycetota; Actinomycetes; Micrococcales; Micrococcaceae
Description: bacterial SSU rRNA
Rfam family: Bacterial small subunit ribosomal RNA
Source: RNAcentral
GACGAUGACCCCGCUUGCGGGGGGAUUAGUGGCGAACGGGUGAGUAACACGUGAGUAACCUGCCCUUAACUCUGGGAUAAGCCUUGGAAACGGGGUCUAAUACUGGAUAUUGACUUUUCCUCGCAUGGGGAUUGGUUGAAAGAUUUAUUGGUUUUGGAUGGACUCGCGGCCUAUCAGCUUGUUGGUGAGGUAAUGGCUCACCAAGGCGACGACGGGUAGCCGGCCUGAGAGGGUGACCGGCCACACUGGGACUGAGACACGGCCCAGACUCCUACGGGAGGCAGCAGUGGGGAAUAUUGCACAAUGGGCGAAAGCCUGAUGCAGCGACGCCGCGUGAGGGAUGACGGCCUUCGGGUUGUAAACCUCUUUCAGUAGGGAACAAGGCCAGUGUUUAGCUGGUUGAGGGUACUUGCAGAAGAAGCGCCGGCUAACUACGUGCCAGCAGCCGCGGUAAUACGUAGGGCGCAAGCGUUAUCCGGAAUUAUUGGGCGUAAAGAGCUCGUAGGCGGUUUGUCGCGUCUGCCGUGAAAGUCCGGGGCUCAACCCCGGAUCUGCGGUGGGUACGGGCAGACUAGAGUGAUGUAGGGGAGACUGGAAUUCCUGGUGUAGCGGUGAAAUGCGCAGAUAUCAGGAGGAACACCGAUGGCGAAGGCAGGUCUCUGGGCAUUAACUGACGCUGAGGAGCGAAAGCAUGGGGAGCGAACAGGAUUAGAUACCCUGGUAGUCCAUGCCGUAAACGUUGGGCACUAGGUGUGGGGGACAUUCCACGUUUUCCGCGCCGUAGCUAACGCAUUAAGUGCCCCGCCUGGGGAGUACGGCCGCAAGGCUAAAACUCAAAGGAAUUGACGGGGGCCCGCACAAGCGGCGGAGCAUGCGGAUUAAUUCGAUGCAACGCGAAGAACCUUACCAAGGCUUGACAUGAACUGGAAACACCUGGAAACAGGUGCCCCGCUUGCGGUCGGUUUACAGGUGGUGCAUGGUUGUCGUCAGCUCGUGUCGUGAGAUGUUGGGUUAAGUCCCGCAACGAGCGCAACCCUCGUUCUAUGUUGCCAGCACGUUAUGG